AUACGUAGGGUGCGAGCGUUGUCCGGAUUCAUUGGGUUUAAAGGGUGCGCAGGCGGCCGUGCAAGUCAGCGGUGAAAGCCCGGGGCUCAACCCCGGAAGUGCCGUUGAUACUGCGUGGCUGGAAUGCGGUCGAGGCGGGCGGAACGGGGCGGGGAGGGGGGAAAUGCGUAGAUAUGCCACAGAACGCCGAUAGCGGAGGCAGCUCGCCAGGCCUGCAUUGACGCUGGGGCACGAAAGCGUGGGGAUCGAACAGGAUUAGAUACCCUGGUAGUCCACGCCGUAAACGAUGGGCGCUCGUCGUCGGCGACAGACAGUCGGCGGCCAAGCGAAAGCGACAAGCGCCCCACCUGGGGAGUACGGUCGCAAGGCUGAAACUCAAAUGAAUUGACGGGG
This 393-nucleotide ribosomal RNA is filed under the name uncultured bacterium. RNAcentral describes it as "partial 16S ribosomal RNA". It matches the Rfam family "Bacterial small subunit ribosomal RNA", at positions 523 to 918 of the family's 1533-position model. The record is from RNAcentral.